AGGAGGUUUGGGUCCCCAGUUCCAUGGAGGCUGGGCAUGAGGCCCUGGGCAGCUGGAGGUUUGCCUGUUGUUACUUGUUGUUACUCUGCUCCCCAACCCUCCUAUACCUCCUCCCCGACCCCUGACCAAUGCCCAAGAGAACUACAUGUGCUUGACUGCAGAUGGGUGAGAGAAGAAAACCAAAGUCAGGACAACUAUAACAUUCAGAAGAAAAAAAUACUUGUGGAUGAAGAUACCAUCUCUGAGAACAUUCCACUUGCUACAGGCUUGCUUUCUGGGGAAGCACAUCUAGUCUCCGAACACUCAGAGGAAAAGAUACUUGUGCCUGAAAACACUGUUUCUGAAAACAUGGCUGUUACUACACAAUUACUUUCUGGGGAAAUGCAUCGAGUGUCCAAGCACUCAGAGGAAAAGAUCCUUGUUGCAGGAGACACUGUCUCUGAGAACUUAACAGUUACUACAAAAUUACUUUCAGGGGAAUCACAUCUAAUCUUAAAACAUUCACUAGACAAGACAUUUGGGGUUGAAGACACUGUCUCUGAGAACAUUCCACUUACUAUAGGCUUGCUUUCUGGGGAAGUACAUCUAGUCUCUGAACACUGAGGAAAAAAUACUUGUGACAGGAGACACUGUCUCUGAGAACUUAACAGUUACUACAAAAUUACUUUCAGGGGAAAUACAUCUAUCUAAUCGUAAAACAUACACUAGACAAGACUUUUGGGGCUGGAGACACUGUCUCUGAGAACAUGCCGGUAACUAUAAAAUUGCUUUCUGCUGACACACAUCUAGUAUUAAAACAUUUUGUAGACAACACAUCCGGGGGCUGGAGACACUGUCUCUGAAAACAAAUCGGCGACCACAGGCUUACUCCCAAUGGAGUAUAGUCCUUCAAGACAAGACGCAAUCUUUAAUGAAAUCGAAGACUUUCAAACAUUCCUGAUGAAAAGACCAGAGCUGAAUAGAAAAUCACACACAAGACUCAAGAGGACACAAAAAAGAAAAGAAAAACAAAGUA
Molecule: long non-coding RNA, 1015 nt
Organism: Dromiciops gliroides (monito del monte)
Lineage: Eukaryota; Metazoa; Chordata; Mammalia; Microbiotheria; Microbiotheriidae
Exons: 4
Source: RefSeq, a predicted model, not a curated record